RNAcentral lists this ribosomal RNA (253 nucleotides) under uncultured bacterium. Its description in RNAcentral is "partial 16S ribosomal RNA". It matches the Rfam family "Bacterial small subunit ribosomal RNA", at positions 524 to 776 of the family's 1533-position model. The record is from RNAcentral.
UACGGGGGGGGCAAGCGUUGUUCGGAAUUACUGGGCGUAAAGGGCUCGUAGGCGGCCAACUAAGUCAGACGUGAAGUCCCUCGGCUUAACCGGGGAACUGCGUCUGAUACUGGAUGGCUUGAGUUUGGGAGAGGGAUGCGGAAUUCCAGGUGUAGCGGUGAAAUGCGUAGAUAUCUGGAGGAACACCGGUGGCGAAGGCGGCAUCCUGGACCAACACUGACGCUGAGGAGCGAAAGCGUGGGGAGCAAACAGG